GACGAACGCUGGCGGCGUGCUUAACACAUGCAAGUCGAACGGUAAGGCCCUUUCUGGGGUACACGAGUGGCGAACGGGUGAGUAACACGUGGGUGAUCUGCCCUGCACUUUGGGAUAAGCCUGGGAAACUGGGUCUAAUACCGGAUAGGACUACGCGAUGCAUGUCGUGUGUUGGAAAGCUUUUGCGGUGUGGGAUGGGCCCGCGGCCUAUCAGCUUGUUGGUUGGGUGAUGGCAUACCAAGGCGCCGACGGGUAGCCGGCCUGAGAGGGUGUCCGGCCACACUGGGACUGAGAUACGGCCCAGACUCGUACGGGAGGCAACAGUGGGGAAUAUUGCACAAUGGGCGCAAGCCUGAUGCAGCGACGCCGCGUGGGGGAUGACGGCCUUCGGGUUGUAAACCCCUUUCAGCACAGACGAAGCGUAAGUGACGGUAUGUGCAGAAGAAGCACCGGCCAACUACGUG
This 464-nucleotide ribosomal RNA is filed under the name uncultured bacterium. RNAcentral's name for it is "partial 16S ribosomal RNA". It matches the Rfam family "Bacterial small subunit ribosomal RNA", at positions 28 to 507 of the family's 1533-position model. The record is from RNAcentral.